RNAcentral lists this long non-coding RNA (222 nucleotides) under Elaeis guineensis (African oil palm). Its description in RNAcentral is "long non-coding RNA (EGUI_LNC045167)". Lineage: Eukaryota; Viridiplantae; Streptophyta; Magnoliopsida; Arecales; Arecaceae. The record is from RNAcentral.
AAGGGAGGCAUGAUGAAGAAUUGAAGACAUGAAUGGUGAUCUUAUCGGCGAACUGAUAGAGUUGGAGUAGAAGGAGAGGGGUUCGAGGGGCGAUACGAAUCAAAGUUGGAGUGGAAAGAGAUAGGGGCACCAAUCAAAAUCCAAAUUGGGGGUAAAGAGGAGAUAUUAGAAUGGGAGAAAAGGGGAGGCAUUGGCUGUUGGAGCCACAGUUGAAGUGAGAAG